RNAcentral lists this ribosomal RNA (465 nucleotides) under Vreelandella stevensii. RNAcentral's name for it is "partial 16S ribosomal RNA". It matches the Rfam family "Bacterial small subunit ribosomal RNA", at positions 338 to 795 of the family's 1533-position model. Lineage: Bacteria; Pseudomonadati; Pseudomonadota; Gammaproteobacteria; Oceanospirillales; Halomonadaceae. The record is from RNAcentral.
CCUACGGGGGGCAGCAGUGGGGAAUAUUGGACAAUGGGCGAAAGCCUGAUCCAGCCAUGCCGCGUGUGUGAAGAAGGCCUUCGGGUUGUAAAGCACUUUCAGUGGGGAAGAAAGCCUUGGGGCUAAUACCCUCGAGGAAGGACAUCACCCACAGAAGAAGCACCGGCUAACUCCGUGCCAGCAGCCGCGGUAAUACGGAGGGUGCGAGCGUUAAUCGGAAUUACUGGGCGUAAAGCGCGCGUAGGCGGUCUGAUAAGCCGGUUGUGAAAGCCCCGGGCUCAACCUGGGAACGGCAUCCGGAACUGUCAGGCUAGAGUGCAGGAGAGGAAGGUAGAAUUCCCGGUGCAGCGGUGAAAUGCGUAGAGAUCGGGAGGAAUACCAGUGGCGAAGGCGGCCUUCUGGACUGACACUGACGCUGAGGUGCGAAAGCGUGGGUAGCAAACAGGAUUAGAUACCCCAGUAGUC